Molecule: ribosomal RNA, 315 nt
Filed under: uncultured bacterium
Lineage: Bacteria
Description: bacterial SSU rRNA
Rfam family: Bacterial small subunit ribosomal RNA
Source: RNAcentral
AAUCAACGCUGGCGGCGCGCCUAACACAUGCAAGUCGAACGGGAAAGGCGGGGCAACCCGCUGAGUAAAGUGGCGUACGGGUGAGUAACACGUGGGUAACCUGCCCUCCGGUGGGGGAUAACCCUGGGAAACCGGGGCUAAUACCGCAUAUGCCCGAGAGGGGAAAGCCGCAAGGCGCCGGAGGAGGGGCCCGCGGCCGAUCAGCUCGUUGGUAGGGUAACGGCCUACCAAGGCGAUGACCGGUAGCCGGCCUGAGAGGGCACACGGCCACACUGGCACUGAAACACGGGCCAGACUCCUACGGGAGGCAGCAUG